RNAcentral lists this ribosomal RNA (496 nucleotides) under uncultured bacterium. RNAcentral describes it as "partial 16S ribosomal RNA". It matches the Rfam family "Bacterial small subunit ribosomal RNA", at positions 29 to 507 of the family's 1533-position model. The record is from RNAcentral.
AUGAACGCUGGCGGCGUGCCUCAUACAUGCCAGUCGCGCGAACAGACGAGGAGCUUGCUCCUCUGACGUUAGCGGCGGACGGGUGAGUAACACGUGGAUAACCUACCUAUAAGACUGGGAUAACUUCGGGAAACCGGAGCUAAUACCGGAUAAUAUAUUGAACCGCAUGGUUCAAUAGUAAAAGUCGGUUUUGCUGUCACUUAUAGAUGGAUCCGCGCCGCAUUAGCUAGUUGGUAAGGUAACGGCUUACCAAGGCGACGAUGCGUAGCCGACCUGAGAGGGUGAUCGGCCACACUGGAACUGGGACACGGUCCAGACUCCUACGGUAGGCAGCAGUAGGGAAUCUUCCGCAAUGGGCGAAAGCCUGACGGAGCAACGCCGCGUGAGUGAUGAAGGUCUUCGGAUCGUAAAACUCUGUUAUUAGUGAAGAACAAAUGUGUAAGUAACUAUGCACGUCUUGACGGUACCUAAUCAGAAAGCCACGGCUAACUACGUG